GAUCCUGGCUCAGGAUGAACGCUGGCGGCGUGCCUAACACAUGCAAGUCGAACGGAGAUUACGGACGGAAGUUUUCGGAUGGAAGUUUGUAAUUCUUAGUGGCGGACGGGUGAGUAACGCGUGGGCAACCUGCCCUAUACAGGGGGAUAGCAGCUGGAAACGGCUGGUAAGACCGCAUAAGUCGGCGAAACCGCAUGGUUUUGUCGGGAAAUGAGUAAUCAGGUAUAGGAUGGGCCCGCGUCCGAUUAGCCAGUUGG
RNAcentral lists this ribosomal RNA (257 nucleotides) under uncultured bacterium. RNAcentral describes it as "partial 16S ribosomal RNA". It matches the Rfam family "Bacterial small subunit ribosomal RNA", at positions 15 to 252 of the family's 1533-position model. The record is from RNAcentral.